AGAGCGAACGCUGGCGGCGUGCUUAACACAUGCAAGUCGAACGAGGUCUGUAGCAAUACAGAUACUCGUGGCGAACGGGUGCGUAACACGUGGAUAACCUUCCUUCAGGUGGGGAAUAACCCAGUGAAAAUUGGGCUAAUACCGCAUAACAUGACGAUGCCACAUGGUGUUGUCUUCAAAGGCGCAAGUCGCCAGAAGAGGGAUCCGCGGCCGAUUAGCUAGUUGGCGAGGUAAUGGCUCACCAAGGCAAUGAUCGGUAGCCGGACUGAGAGGUUGGCCGGCCACACUGGAACUGAGACACGGUCCAGACUCCUACGGGAGGCAGCAGUGGGGAAUCUUGCACAAUGGACGAAAGUCUGAUGCAGCAACGCCGCGUGGGGAUGAAGCUUUUCGGAGUGUAAACCCCUUUCGACCCGGAAGAAAGCCCGCAAGGGUUUGACGGUACGGGUAUAAGAAGCCCCGGCUAACUACGUGCCAGCAGCCGCGGU
This 488-nucleotide ribosomal RNA is filed under the name uncultured bacterium. Its description in RNAcentral is "SSU rRNA". It matches the Rfam family "Bacterial small subunit ribosomal RNA", at positions 26 to 521 of the family's 1533-position model. The record is from RNAcentral.